CCUACGGGGCGCUGCAGUGAGGAAUAUUGGUCAAUGGACGAGAGUCUGAACCAGCCAAGUAGCGUGAAGGAUGACUGCCCUAUGGGUUGUAAACUUCUUUUAUAUGGGAAUAAAAUGUUCCACGUGUGGGAUUUUGUAUGUACCAUAUGAAUAAGGAUCGGCUAACUCCGUGCCAGCAGCCGCGGUAAUACGGAGGAUCCGAGCGUUAUCCGGAUUUAUUGGGUUUAAAGGGAGCGUAGGUGGAUUGUUAAGUCAGUUGUGAAAGUUUGCGGCUCAACCGUAAAAUUGCAGUUGAAACUGGCAGUCGUGAGUACAGUAGAGGUGGGCGGAAUUCGUGGUGUAGCGGUGAAAUGCUUAGAUAUCACGAAGAACUCCGAUUGCGAAGGCAGCUCACUGGACUGCAACUGACACUGAGGCUCGAAAGUGUGGGUAUCAAACAGGAUUAGAUACCCCUGUAGUC
RNAcentral lists this ribosomal RNA (460 nucleotides) under uncultured bacterium. RNAcentral describes it as "partial 16S ribosomal RNA". It matches the Rfam family "Bacterial small subunit ribosomal RNA", at positions 338 to 795 of the family's 1533-position model. The record is from RNAcentral.